Parus major (Great Tit) is the source of this 1371-nucleotide long non-coding RNA. RefSeq lists it as uncharacterized. The transcript has 3 exons. The record is from RefSeq and is a predicted model, not a curated record. Lineage: Eukaryota; Metazoa; Chordata; Aves; Passeriformes; Paridae.
GACUAAGACCAAGAAAUGUUAAAGUUGAGUUUUCAUUUGGGACUGAAUUUCCAGGAAGCUUAGUUAAGCAAACUAAGGUUCGGUCUUGAUACGGAGAAUUAGUAAGAGGGUCCAAACUUGUAAACAAGGAAUAUUUUUUAGCUAGAUUUAUAACGUGAGUUUUAGUAAUUUUAAGAUUUGAUGCUACUUGUAGUCUCCUAAGAACAUUUAGGACAAGGACUAGGUCACCAUGCUAAAGCUAGCUUCUGUGUCAGUUUUCAUGUCCUCAUCUAGGAGAGGAUAUAUUAUGGCAAAGGAAGCAAAAUUCAGCUCUAGGAUUGGCAGGAAUUUUUUGCAUUGUGGUUAAAAUGUUUAAUGAGCUGGCACUGCUUUGCUCAUUUCUGUGUCCAACUCUAUUCUAACUGAACUGUUGAGGAAGAACUUAUUUGGAUGUUGGUGUUAUUUCCUCUAGGAGCUACUGCUGAAUUUGGUGGUGCUGAAUUCUGAGACUGACUGCAGAUUUCCAUCUUCCAUGGCUGAAUCAUUUUUCUAAGUUAACUUCCAUUAUGAAUGCGAAAAGUUUUGUCAGCCUCUGACAGAAAAAUGAAGACUUUAGUGCUUUCAGAGGUAUCAUGGACAUAUGGAACAAAUUCCUAUCUCAUGGAAAUGAUGGUGAAGAAAAAAGAGAUAGUGUGCAUGAUUAUCUGUUGUGGGAACACCUAACGUAAGAAUAAGAAUUUCCUUAUUUGUUCUCCUGUCAGUGAUUUGGUAUUUUACCACUUCAUUACAUUUCAUAAUACAGCAAAGUAUAAAGCUCUUCACAUACUUGACUGAGAUAGUGCCAAAAGAAUUUCUUCUUCAUAGUUGCUCCGAAUAAAUGUAUGCAUCUAACAAUGUUUUUAUCAGGUAAGAGCACUUCUGUCACUAUGAGGUGAAGGGACAUACUUUGUAAUAAAGUUGAUUUUGACCUGCACAGUCACAAUGACUUUGUCUUGUUUCCCUAUGCACAGUAUCUGACUCAUUGUAUGAAUGAAGUGACCACAGACUCUGAACUAUGUGAACCCUUUAGAACCUACAAGGUCAGUGAAUUCACACAACAGACAACUAAUGAUGUUAUACUGGUUUUGGUCACUCAAAUUAAAUUUUGUCCAAUUACUAGCCAGACAAACUAUUUUUGUAGAGUUAGGCUUGUUCUGGUAAUUAUUAAAAUUGUCUCCAUCUUUACAAAAUUAUUUUAAUCAGAUAGUAAUGCACUUAUUUUUUUAAUUAGUAGCUGCACUGGUAUUUCAAAUAUAGGCAUUUACUGAAGUUUAUAAUAUAUAUGUGUCUGUGUGUGUGUUUGUAUAGGUGAAGUAUUGUGAAUGCUAAACAAAACCUUCCAAGUCUUUAAUG